AGUGAACGCUGGCGGUAGGCCUAACACAUGCAAGUCGAACGGCAGCACAGUAAGAGCUUGCUCCUACGGGUGGCGAGUGGCGGACGGGUGAGGAAUACAUCGGAAUCUACUUUUUCGUGGGGGAUAACGUAGGGAAACUUACGCUAAUACCGCAUACGACCUACGGGUGAAAUCAGGGGAUCUUCGGACCUUGCGCGAUUGAAUGAGCCGAUGUCGGAUUAGCUAGUUGGCGGGGUAAAGGCCCACCAAGGCGACGAUCCGUAGCUGGUCUGAGAGGAUGAUCAGCCACACUGGAACUGAGACACGGUCCAGACUCCUACGGGAGGCAGCAGUGGGGAAUCUUGGACAAUGGGCGCAAGCCUGAUCCAGCCAUGCCGCGUGGGUGAAGAAGGCCUUCGGGUUGUAAAGCCCUUUUGUUGGGAAAGAAAAGCAGCAGGUUAAUACCCCGCUGUUCUGACGGUACCCAAAGAAUAAGCACCGGCUAACUUCGUG
Molecule: ribosomal RNA, 492 nt
Filed under: uncultured bacterium
Lineage: Bacteria
Description: partial 16S ribosomal RNA
Rfam family: Bacterial small subunit ribosomal RNA
Source: RNAcentral